UCACCUGCUCAUCACUGGAAUGGGGAAGGCGUUGUUCUUUCAGCUUUGUGGUCAACAGAGCCAGUAAAGGAUUUUUGAAGAAGCAAUGAAAGCUCCAGGGAUCAAAGUCCCUCCAUGUUGUGCAUCAUCAUUUAAAGGGAGGUUGCUAUUAAUGAACAAAAAUUGCUGACAUCUGAAAAAGGACAUUUUGAAAAUAUGUUGACCAGAUAAACAGCAAAGGAUUUAGGGGGAGCAAUAGACUGGGAUCACCAAAUGGAGAAAUAAAAUGGAGCGUUCUCAUUUAACCAGAGGACAUCUGAAAUAAUGAGAGGAAAGUGUCCAUGAUAAGCAGAGGAACAUGUUGGAAUAUUUAACAGAAAUAGACAUUUUAGAAAGAGACAGUAUAAAAGAAACCAGGAAGAAGGAGCAUAUGGAAACCACAAUAUUGCUUGGGAUUGAAUUCAGGAAAAAACAAAUGCCAAAGAGAAUGAGUCUAUUCUCCAUAUAUACUCAGCUCUGUUCAGUUUUCUGUUUGGGACUUAAUGUUGACAACUCACAGGCAAAAUGCUUUCUCUAGAGGAAUUUUUCUCUACCAGUUAGAAAGUGAUGUGAGAGUUGCAAUUGUGAGAGCAAAUAAUCCCCAGAUCUGUGGACCCACAUUCCUAUGCCUCCUGCAGAAUUUGAAAAGAAUUCCAAAAGAAUACAUAAGUAUAAAACCUCCCCCCUUCCAAUAAAAACAAACUUAAGGCUUUUGUGAUUAGCCUUUCCUUUAUUACUCCUGAAGAAAAAUAAUAAGUCAAUAAGUAAGAGGAAAUAUUCAUAACAGAUACUCAGUUCUUCCUAAGCAAUGGAACAAUUAAUAAGUAAAACCAGCAGUUAGCACUUACUGAGUUCUUUCAAUGUACCAGUACUUUCCGUGGACAAUUAGUUUAAUGCUCACAACAACCCUAUGUGGAAGACAUCAGUUAGGAGUUAGCACACAGAACCCACGUUGUGCAUCUAAACAGAAAGCUUUUAAUAAGAGGAAUUGCUAACUAUUAUUAAUGAACUAUUAUUGAAGAACUAAAAACAUAGACAGGGAAGUAAUAACUGCCAGAAGCAGCUACCACCACUAAGGUUAGGGCAAUAGAUAAAGAACUGGUAAGUAUCAAAAUUUAGAGACUGGAAGGAGGAUCCUCGAUGAGAUAAAACUGAGACUUCUUAG
Talpa occidentalis (Iberian mole) is the source of this 1183-nucleotide long non-coding RNA. RefSeq lists it as uncharacterized. The record is from RefSeq and is a predicted model, not a curated record. The transcript is spliced from 3 exons. NCBI's taxonomy places the organism in Eukaryota, Metazoa, Chordata, Mammalia, Eulipotyphla, Talpidae.